CCGGGCAGGAUGGAAAAUUUGUGCAAGGUCUGCUGCCAAUAAAUGACAGAGGAGUCGCAAACACAGUGCUGUCUGGCUUGCAGAAAUUAACCAGGGAGGACAAAGGUACAGCAUAGCCCUGAGAAGAAUGUCCUCUCCGUAACUCAGAUCUGAGAGCUCCGCCCUACAUAAAGUCGCCCCCGUCAGAAGACCAGAGAGCUCUGGAGUUAGCUGAUUUCAAACACUUCAUCAAACCUGGAUAAUUCAUCCUGAAGUUUCCUUACCUGCCUGUGGCCGAUCCACCUCUCCAUGAAUUUCUUCCAAUCCCAGCUGCUCCUCAGAAAGCCUCCAUCAUCCAUCCUCCGUCACUAGACAGAGACUGCCCAUCAUCUGGGCUGGCCUGACCUGCUCAGUCAUUGCACUACAUAGAAUAUUCUUCUGGGAUAUCCAAAACAAGAUUCCUUCAUCACCUCCCUGAGUGACCUGGAACCACUCUCAGGGUUUUGGGAGGAGCACCAAUCCACACAAGCAGCAGAAAGCUCGCUUCCUUGCGUAGUUGAUUCUCUCUAAUCACAAAUCAGAUGUCUUCUCCUCUACCCU
Long non-coding RNA from Peromyscus maniculatus bairdii (prairie deer mouse), 579 nucleotides. RefSeq lists it as uncharacterized. NCBI's taxonomy places the organism in Eukaryota, Metazoa, Chordata, Mammalia, Rodentia, Cricetidae. The record is from RefSeq and is a predicted model, not a curated record.